CAGCAGCCGCGGUAAUACGUAGGGUGCAAGCGUUAAUCGGAAUUACUGGGCGUAAAGCGUGCGCAGGCGGUUAUAUAAGACAGAUGUGAAAUCCCCGGGCUCAACCUGGGAACUGCAUUUGUGACUGUAUAGCUAGAGUACGGCAGAGGGGGAUGGAAUUCCGCGUGUAGCAGUGAAAUGCGUAGAUAUGCGGAGGAACACCGAUGGCGAAGGCAAUCCCAUGGGCCUGUACUGACGCUCAUGCACGAAAGCGUGGGGAGCAAACAGGAUUAGAUACCCCUGUAGUCCCUGUCUCUUAUAC
RNAcentral lists this ribosomal RNA (301 nucleotides) under uncultured bacterium. Its description in RNAcentral is "partial 16S ribosomal RNA". It matches the Rfam family "Bacterial small subunit ribosomal RNA", at positions 509 to 807 of the family's 1533-position model. The record is from RNAcentral.